AAAAUUGUCCCAAAAUUGCCAGAGUUCGAUAUACUACACUCCAGUUGCCAAAGGACAAAGGUAGAAUGGCACUUCCAAAUUUUAGGAUAUAUUUCUAUGCAGCCCAACUUCG
This is a long non-coding RNA of Amblyraja radiata (thorny skate), 112 nucleotides long. RefSeq lists it as uncharacterized. The record is from RefSeq and is a predicted model, not a curated record. NCBI's taxonomy places the organism in Eukaryota, Metazoa, Chordata, Chondrichthyes, Rajiformes, Rajidae. The transcript is spliced from 3 exons.